CAAAUAAUGAGCUUAUUUAGCAGGCUUUUUGGUCAACCUGUUUCUUUCAUUAUUUCAUCCUCUGCAUUAUUUGGGAAACAGUGAAUAAUUGAGAAAUGAUGUCAACAAUGCAUUCACCACGUGGGGCUGGUGAGGCAUGAUAAGGAAGGAGGGUGAACAAUGUCCAAGCCAUCAGGACCCUGGUCAGACAUCUCCUAAGGGGCCCCAGCAAGGCUGUGAAAUCAUCUCCCUAGCCCCAGAAAAAGAUUCUGGCACCAACAGCACUUGAGCUGAAGAAUCAAAAGGUGUCGAUUCCAAUACAAUAAAAGGAGCCAACUUGGAAAUCUUGACAGUAAACUUCUGUGGCUUUUUCCUGCAACAUUCUUUAAAAUUUCUUGGGGAAAAUGUUACAAGGAACACACUUUGAGAAAUCCUGCCAUCCUGUCCAGACAUGCUGGACUAAGGGUUGCCUCUAAAGUAAAAUGCCUUAUCCAUGGUGAGAGAUGCUCCCAGAGAGAUAUUUUAGGAUGAGGAGAAAACCAGAGGAGCAGCAAGAAGGAACACAUGAAGACAGACGGGGAUGGACGAGGAGCACAAAGACUAUGUUCCAAUCCUGGUUCAGUUAAUAGUAAAAUGCUUUUCUAGUUGGUCUCUGUUUCACUCUUGCUUCUCCAUUGUUCACAUACAUUUACUCUUAUAAAAUGGAAAUUUGAUCCUGCAGUUUCCCUGCUUAAAACCCUCAAAUGAUUUCCCCUUAUAUUGGUGUCAAACCCCAACUCUUUGUGGCUUCCUGCAUUCUGGACUCAAUGUUUUCAUCUACUUUUUGAAUACAGCAGCCUUAUUUCACCAUAGAUCUUUGCACUUGCUUCAUGAAAUGCAUUUUCCCUAGAACUCUGCAUGAUCACCUGUUUCUCCACAUUCAGGUCCUCAUGUUAUUAUUACUUCUUUCAAAAUGGUUUCUCUGACC
Homo sapiens (human) is the source of this 946-nucleotide long non-coding RNA. RefSeq lists it as uncharacterized. The record is from RefSeq and is a predicted model, not a curated record. The transcript is spliced from 3 exons. NCBI's taxonomy places the organism in Eukaryota, Metazoa, Chordata, Mammalia, Primates, Hominidae.